CAGCCGCCGCGGUAAUACGUAGGUGGCGAGCGUUGUCCGGAAUCAUUGGGUGUAAAGGGAGCGCAGGCGGUCCGGCAAGUUGAGAGUGGAAGCAGGGGGCUCAACCCCCUGACUGCUCCCAAAACUGUUGGACUGGAGUAUGGGAGAGGCAGGCGGAAUUCCUAGUGUAGCGGUGAAAUGCUCAGAUAUUAGGAAGAACACCGGUGGCGAAGGCGGCCUGCUGGACCAAAACUGACGCUGAGGCACGAAAGCGUGGGGAGCAAACAGGAUUAGAGACCCGAUAGUCCCUGUCUCUUAUACA
RNAcentral lists this ribosomal RNA (301 nucleotides) under uncultured bacterium. RNAcentral's name for it is "partial 16S ribosomal RNA". It matches the Rfam family "Bacterial small subunit ribosomal RNA", at positions 509 to 808 of the family's 1533-position model. The record is from RNAcentral.